UACGGAGGGUGCAAGCGUUGCUCGGAAUCAUUGGGCGUAAAGCGCACGUAGGCGGCUCGUUAAGUCGGAUGUGAAAGCCCUGGGCUCAACCCAGGAAGUGCAUACGAAACUGGCGAGCUUGAGUAUGGAAGAGGGUCGCGGAAUUCCCGGUGUAGAGGUGAAAUUCGUAGAUAUCGGGAGGAACACCAGUGGCGAAGGCGGCGACCUGGGCCAAUACUGACGCUGAGGUGCGAAAGCGUGGGGAGCAAACAGG
This 253-nucleotide ribosomal RNA is filed under the name uncultured bacterium. Its description in RNAcentral is "partial 16S ribosomal RNA". It matches the Rfam family "Bacterial small subunit ribosomal RNA", at positions 524 to 776 of the family's 1533-position model. The record is from RNAcentral.